Molecule: transfer RNA, 72 nt
Filed under: Alosa alosa (allis shad)
Lineage: Eukaryota; Metazoa; Chordata; Actinopteri; Clupeiformes; Clupeidae
Description: tRNA-OTHER
Source: RNAcentral
GCAGUCGUGGCCUACUGGUUAGUGCUUCGGACUUGUAACCGGAGGGUUGCUGGUUCGAACCCCAACCGAGCA